Molecule: transfer RNA, 62 nt
Filed under: Sminthurinus signatus
Lineage: Eukaryota; Metazoa; Arthropoda; Collembola; Symphypleona; Katiannidae
Description: tRNA-Asp
Source: RNAcentral
AAAAAAUUAUUUAAAAAAUAAUAUAGAAAUGUCAAAUCUAAAUUACCAAUAGGUAUUUUUUU